CGCUGGCGGCGUGCCUAAUACAUGCAAGUCAACGGUCUUUCUAUGGAAGCUUGCUUCACUGAAAGAUAGUGGCGAACGGGUGAGUAACACGUGGGUAACCUGCCCAUAAGAGGGGGAUAACAUCCGGAAACGGGUGCUAAUACCGCAUAGUUUUCUUGAUCGCAUGAUCGGAAAGGAAAGACGGCCUUUGUGCUGUCGCUUAUGGAUGGACCCGCGGCGUAUUAGUUAGUUGGUGAGGUAACGGCUCACCAAGACGAUGAUACGUAGCCGACCUGAGAGGGUGAUCGGCCACAUUGGGACUGAGACACGGCCCAAACUCCUACGGGAGGCAGCAGUAGGGAAUCUUCCGCAAUGGACGAAAGUCUGACGGAGCAACGCCGCGUGAGUGAAGAAAGGUUUUCGGAUCGUAAAACUCUGUUGUCAGAGAAGAACAAGUUGGAGAGUAACUGCUCCAGCCUUGACGGUAUCUGACCAGAAAGCCACGGCUAACUACGUGCCAGCCGCUGC
RNAcentral lists this ribosomal RNA (507 nucleotides) under uncultured bacterium. RNAcentral's name for it is "bacterial SSU rRNA". It matches the Rfam family "Bacterial small subunit ribosomal RNA", at positions 34 to 518 of the family's 1533-position model. The record is from RNAcentral.